Molecule: microRNA precursor, 180 nt
Filed under: Oryza sativa (Asian cultivated rice)
Lineage: Eukaryota; Viridiplantae; Streptophyta; Magnoliopsida; Poales; Poaceae
Description: partial microRNA miR396e precursor
Rfam family: MIR396 microRNA precursor family
Source: RNAcentral
GCGGCCAUGCUCUCCACAGGCUUUCUUGAACUGUGAACUCGUGUGUGCAUGCUCCUCAUAUAUUGUUCUAGAUCCCAUGCAUGAUGCAUAUCGAUCGAUCUGAUCUGAAUUAGGUCAUCGAUGCGCAUCUGGAUCCCCAUCUUGUUGAUAGUUCAAGAAAGUCCUUGGAAAACAUGGUGC